CACACCGCCAGUCACACCAUGGGAGUUGGUUUUACCUUAAGACGGUGUGCUAACCAGCAAUGGAGGCAGCCGGCCACGGUAAGGUCAGCGACUGGGGUG
RNAcentral lists this ribosomal RNA (99 nucleotides) under uncultured bacterium. RNAcentral's name for it is "partial 16S ribosomal RNA". It matches the Rfam family "Bacterial small subunit ribosomal RNA", at positions 1386 to 1482 of the family's 1533-position model. The record is from RNAcentral.